This 422-nucleotide ribosomal RNA is filed under the name Auxenochlorella pyrenoidosa. RNAcentral's name for it is "bacterial SSU rRNA". It matches the Rfam family "Bacterial small subunit ribosomal RNA", at positions 354 to 790 of the family's 1533-position model. Lineage: Eukaryota; Viridiplantae; Chlorophyta; Trebouxiophyceae; Chlorellales; Chlorellaceae. The record is from RNAcentral.
UGGGGGAAUUUUCCGCAAUGGGCGAAAGCCUGACGGAGCAAUGCCGCGUGAAGGAUGAAGGCCUAUGGGUUGUAAACUUUCUUUUCUCAGAGGAAGAAUUCUUGACGGUAUCUGAGGAAUAAGCAUCGGCUAACUCUGUGCCAGCAGCCGCGGUAAGACAGAGGAUGCAAGCGUUAUCCGGAAUGAUUGGGCGUAAAGCGUCUGUAGGUGGCUUAAAAAGUCUUCUGUCAAAGAUCAGGGCUUAACCCUGGGCCGGCAGGAGAAACUCUUAGGCUAGAGUUGGUAGGGGCAGAGGGAAUUCCCGGUGGAGCGGUGAAAUGCGUAGAGAUCGGGAGGAACACCAAAGGCGAAAGCACUCUGCUGGGCCACAACUGACACUGAGAGACGAAAGCGAGGGGAGCAAAAGGGAUUAGAUACCCCUG